UAACCAUGCAAGUCGAACCGGCGGCAACCGAAGAGCUUGCUCUCUUGGGCGGCGAGUGGCGGACGGGUGAGUAAUAUAUCGGAACGUGCCCAGUAGCGGGGGAUAACUACUCGAAAGAGUGGCUAAUACCGCAAACGCCCUACGGGGGAAAGGGGGGGAUCGCAAGACCUCUCACUAUUGGAGCUGCCGAUAUCGGAUUAGCUAGUUGGUGGGGUAAAGGCUCACCAAGGCAACGAUCCGUAGCUGGUUUGAGAGGACGACCAGCCACACUGGGACUGAGACACGGCCCAGACUCCUACGGGAGGCAGCAGUGGGGAAUUUUGGACAAUGGGGGAAACCCUGAUCCAGCCAUCCCGCGUGUAUGAUGAAGGCCGUUCGGGUUAGUAAAGUACUUUUGGCAGAGAAGAAAAGGUAUCCCCUUAAUUACGGGAUACUGACUGACCGUAUCUGCAGAAUAAGCGACCGGCUAACUACGUGCCAGCAGCCGACGUUAAUACGUAGGGUGCAAGCGUUAAUCGGAAUUACUGGGCGUACAGCGUGUGUAGGUCGUUUAGGACAGAGAGAUGUGACAUCCCAGGGCUCAACCUUGGAACUGCAUUUUUAACUGCCGAGCUAGAGUAUGUCAGAGGGGGGUAGAAUUCCACGUGUAGCAGUGAAUUGCGUAGAUAUGUGGAGGAAUACCGAUGGCGAAGGCAGCCCCCUGGGAUAAUACUGACGCUCAGACACGAAAGCGUGGGGAAGCAAACAGGAUUAGAUACCCUGGUAGUCCACGCCCUAACACGAUGUCAACUAGCUGUUGGGGCCGUUAGGCCUUAGUAGCGCAGCUAACGCGUGAAGUUGACCGCCUGGGGGAGUACGGUCGCAAGAUUAAAACUCAAAGGGAAUUGACUGCGGACCCGCACAAGCGGUCGGAAUGAUGUGGAUUAGAUUCGAUGCAACGCGUAAAAACCUUACCUACCCCUGACACUGUCUUUGGUAAAGCCGCAAAGAGAUUUGGCCGUGUCUCGCAAGAGAACCGGAACACAGGUGCUGCCGGGUUGUCCCCAGCUCGUGUCGUGAGAUGUUGGGUUAAGUUCCCGCAACGAGCGCAACCCUUGUCAUUAGUUGCUACGCAAGAGCACUCUAAUGAGACUGCCGGUGACAAACCGGAGGAAGGUGGGGAUGACGUCAAGUCCUCAUGGCCCUUAUGGGUAGGGCUUCACACGUCAUACAAUGGUCGGGACAGAGGGUCGCCAACCCGCGAGGGGGAGCCAAUCUCAGAAACCCGAUCGUAGUCCGGAUCGCAGUCUGCAACUCGAUUGCGUGAAGUCGGAAUCGCUAGUAAUCGCGGAUCAGAAUGUCGCGGUGAAUACGUUCCCGGGUCUUGUACACACCGCCCGUCACACCAUGGGAGUGGGUUUCACCAGAAG
Molecule: ribosomal RNA, 1409 nt
Filed under: uncultured bacterium
Lineage: Bacteria
Description: bacterial SSU rRNA
Rfam family: Bacterial small subunit ribosomal RNA
Source: RNAcentral